Molecule: ribosomal RNA, 555 nt
Filed under: uncultured Glomerales
Lineage: Eukaryota; Fungi; Glomeromycota; Glomeromycetes; Glomerales; Glomeraceae
Description: SSU rRNA
Rfam family: Eukaryotic small subunit ribosomal RNA
Source: RNAcentral
UUGGAGGGCAAGUCUGGUGCCAGCAGCCGCGGUAAUUCCAGCUCCAAUGGCGUAUAUUAAAGUUGUUGCAGUUAAAAAGCUCGUAGUUGAAUUUCGGGAUUGACACAUCGGUCGUGCCUUAAGGGGUAUGAACUGGUGUAGUCAAUUUCUCACCUUCUGGAGAACCGCGCUGUCCUUAAUUGGGUGACGCGGGGAACCAGGACCUUUACUUUGAAAAAAUUAGAGUGUUUAAAGCAGGCAUUUUGCUUGAAUACAUUAGCAUGGAAUAAUAAAAUAGGACGGCAUGAUUCUAUUUUGUUGGUUUCUAGGAUCACCGUAAUGAUUAAUAGGGAUAGUUGGGGGCAUUAGUAUUCAAUUGUCGGAGGUGAAAUUCUUGGAUUUAUUGAAGACUAGCUACUGCGAAAGCAUUUGCCAAGGAUGUUUUCAUUAAUCAAGAACGAAAGUUAGGGGAUCGAAGACGAUCAGAUACCGUCGUAGUCUUAACCAUAAACUAUGCCGACUAGGAAUCAGACGAUGUUAAUUUUUUAAUGACUCAUUCGGCGCCUUACGGGAAAC